UACGUAGGGUGCGAGCGUUGUCCGGAAUUAUUGGGCGUAAAGAGCUCGUAGGCGGCCUGUCACGUCGGAUGUGAAAGCCCGGGGCUUAACCCCGGGUCUGCAUUCGAUACGGGCAGGCUGGAGUUCGGUAGGGGAGAUCGGAAUUCCUGGUGUAGCGGUGAAAUGCGCAGAUAUCAGGAGGAACACCGGUGGCGAAGGCGGAUCUCUGGGCUGAUACUGACGCUGAGGAGCGAAAGCGUGGGGAGCGAACAGG
RNAcentral lists this ribosomal RNA (253 nucleotides) under uncultured bacterium. RNAcentral's name for it is "partial 16S ribosomal RNA". It matches the Rfam family "Bacterial small subunit ribosomal RNA", at positions 524 to 776 of the family's 1533-position model. The record is from RNAcentral.